This 501-nucleotide ribosomal RNA is filed under the name uncultured bacterium. Its description in RNAcentral is "bacterial SSU rRNA". It matches the Rfam family "Bacterial small subunit ribosomal RNA", at positions 1 to 518 of the family's 1533-position model. The record is from RNAcentral.
GAGUUGAAUUCGAUGUCGUCAGGAUGAACGCUGGCGGCGUGCAUAACACAUUCAAGUCGAACGGACUGAUUGGUAGCUUGCUACCGAUGAAAGUAGUGGCGGACGGGUGAGUAACGCGUGAGCAACCUGCCUCUGUGUGUGGGAUACCGUCUGGAAACGGACGUUAAUACCGCAUGACCCAUAGAGAUCGCAUGUUUUUUAUGGCAAAGAUUUAUUGCACAGAGAUGGGCUCGCGUCUGAUUAGGCAGUUGGUGAGGUAACGGCCCACCAAACCUACGAUCAGUAGCCGGACUGAGAGGUUGAACGGCCACAUUGGAACUGAGAGACGGUCCAGACUCCUACGGGAGGCAGCAGUGGGGAAUAUUGGGCAAUGGGCGAAAGCCUGACCCAGCGACGCCGCGUGAAGGAAGACGGUCUUCGGAUUGUAAACUUCUUUUAUGUGGGACGAUACAAGACGGUACCACAUGAAUAAGCCACGGCUAACUACGUGCCAGCCGCAGC